RNAcentral lists this ribosomal RNA (503 nucleotides) under uncultured bacterium. Its description in RNAcentral is "partial 16S ribosomal RNA". It matches the Rfam family "Bacterial small subunit ribosomal RNA", at positions 30 to 523 of the family's 1533-position model. The record is from RNAcentral.
AUUGAACGCUGGCGGCAGGCUUAACACAUGCAAGUCGAGCGGGGUGAUGGUGCUUGCACUAUCACUUAGCGGCGGACGGGUGAGUAAUGCUUAGGAAUCUGCCUAUUAGUGGGGGACAACACCUCGAAAGGGAUGCUAAUACCGCAUACGUCCUACGGGAGAAAGCAGGGGAUCACUUGUGACCUUGCGCUAAUAGAUGAGCCUAAGUCGGAUUAGCUAGUUGGUGGGGUAAAGGCCUACCAAGGCGACGAUCUGUAGCGGGUCUGAGAGGAUGAUCCGCCACACUGGGACUGAGACACGGCCCAGACUCCGACGGGAGGCAGCAGUGGGGAAUGUUGGACAAUGGGGGGAACCCUGAUCCAGCCAUGCCGCGUGUGUGAAGAAGGCCUUAUGGUUGUAAAGCACUUUAAGCGAGGAGGAGGCUCUUUUGGUUAAUACCCAAGAUGAGUGGACGUUACUCGCAGAAUAAGCACCGGCUAACUCUGUGCCAGCCGCCGCAGUAA